GGACUACCAGGGUUUCUAAUCCUGUUUGCUCCCCACGCUUUCGCGCCUCAGUGUCAGGAAUCAGCCAGAAUGGCGCCUUCGCCGCCGGCCUUCCCCCAGAUAUCUGCGCAUUUCACCGCUACACCUGGAGUUCCCCAUUCCCCUCUGAUCCUCAAGCCACGCAGUAUAACAUGCAAUUCCCCGGGUAAGCCGAGGGAUUUCACACGUUACUUACGCAACCACCUACGCGCCCUUUAAGCCCAGUGACACCGAACAACGUUCGCCCCUCACGUAUUACCGCGGCUGCUGGCAC
This 292-nucleotide ribosomal RNA is filed under the name uncultured bacterium. RNAcentral describes it as "partial 16S ribosomal RNA". The record is from RNAcentral. RNAcentral also lists the same sequence under 1 other name.